GGUACUUGUACCUGAAAAAUAUAGUUGUGUUACUAGAGCUAUGUCAUGUUUUCACGAUACUCUCAGUCAAGCCAUGAUCUAUAGAAAUUAGUCAGUCAUGUGACUCAGGAAAACUCAGUAAUCUCAGUAGUUCAGUAUUCUCAGUAAUCUCAGUGCUCAAUAACCUCAGUAAUCACAGUAAAUCUCAGUGACUUCAGUACUCUUAAUCAAUCCUCAAGACUUAUUAUAUUCCAU
Molecule: long non-coding RNA, 234 nt
Filed under: Capsicum annuum
Lineage: Eukaryota; Viridiplantae; Streptophyta; Magnoliopsida; Solanales; Solanaceae
Description: long non-coding RNA (CANN_LNC002153)
Source: RNAcentral